Molecule: ribosomal RNA, 365 nt
Filed under: uncultured eukaryote
Lineage: Eukaryota
Description: partial 18S ribosomal RNA
Rfam family: Eukaryotic small subunit ribosomal RNA
Source: RNAcentral
CAAUAGCGUAUAUUUAAGUUGUUGCAGUUAAAAAGCUCGUAGUCGGAUUUUGGCUGAGAACGAUCGGUCCGCCGUUAGGUGUGCACUGAUUGGUCUCAGCUUCCUGGUGAGGAGGUGUGCUUCACGGCCACUUAGUCACCGUGGUUACUUUGAAAAAAUUAGAGUGUUCAAAGCGGGCUUACGCUUGAAUAUAUUAGCAUGGAAUAACACCAUAGGACUCCUGUCCUAUUUCGUUGGUCUCGGGACGGGAGUAAUGAUUAAGAGGGACAGUCGGGGGCAUUCGUAUUUCAUUGUCAGAGGUGAAAUUCUUGGAUUUAUGAAAGACGAACUACUGCGAAAGCAUUUGCCAAGGAUGUUUUCAUUAA